UGGGGAAUUUUGGACAAUGGGGGAAACCCUGAUCCAGCAACGCCGCGUGAAUGAAGAAGGCCUUAGGGUUGUAAAGUUCUUUUGUCAGGGAAGAAAGUUUCUGUGCUAAUACCAUAGAACGAUGACGGUACCUGAAGAAUAAGCACCGGCUAACUACGUGCCAGCAGCCGCGGUAAUACGUAGGGUGCAAGCGUUAAUCGGAAUUACUGGGCGUAAAGCGUGCGCAGGCGGAUAUGUAAGUUAGAAGUGA
This 250-nucleotide ribosomal RNA is filed under the name uncultured bacterium. Its description in RNAcentral is "partial 16S ribosomal RNA". It matches the Rfam family "Bacterial small subunit ribosomal RNA", at positions 355 to 597 of the family's 1533-position model. The record is from RNAcentral.